Non-coding RNA from Schistosoma mansoni, 45 nucleotides. The record is from Rfam. Lineage: Eukaryota; Metazoa; Platyhelminthes; Trematoda; Strigeidida; Schistosomatidae.
AGCCAGCUGAGGAGUUUCAAAUAGGAUGAAAUGCGUGUUCUGGAU